Molecule: long non-coding RNA, 279 nt
Organism: Haliotis rubra (blacklip abalone)
Lineage: Eukaryota; Metazoa; Mollusca; Gastropoda; Lepetellida; Haliotidae
Exons: 3
Source: RefSeq, a predicted model, not a curated record
CAGCAACCCUCUCUAGGAUGUCACUGAUGUACCGUGGAUACUGGUCUUGUGUACAGAGGAUGAUCAUGGACAUGUGGUACAACAACCCUCUCUAGGAUGUCACUGAUGUACCGUGGAAACUGGUCUUGUGUACUGAGGAUGUUCACGGACAUGUGGUACAACAACCCUCUCUAGGAUGUCACUGAUGUACCGUGGAUACUGGUCUUGUGUACAGAGGAUGAUCAUGGACAUGUGGUACAACAACCCUCUCUAGGAUGUCACUGAUGUUCCGUGGAUACU